GUGAGUCGUCCGUGGUGUCUGCUAGGGAUUUUCGUUUCGCAGCUCUAUGCCACAAUAUUUCCCGCGUUUUGGCGCGUCCAGUAGUUGAUUGUUUACUGCUGACGCACGCCCUGACAGCGCUUAUUACUUAAUAUACCAGUCUGCUAUUUGGGCUUUUGACGGUGCUGCUACUGUUGCCGUGCCGUUGACAGUUGAUUGCGAUGUGAUCGAAGAUGAAGAUUGUAUACCAGAAUGAAUCGAUACCAACCAGCCGGUAAAGAUGACCCUCCCAAGUGGCCCUCCCGGCUUAACUCCCGGAAGGAAAGAAUUAAAGGUGGCACAAAAAAAAGUCAAAGCCUUCCUGUUAUAAAAACGCCUCUCGAAGAGCUCCGUCUAGUUUACAAACACUCUGUUGCAGCCUCACUAGCACAUGACAGCGCAAGUUCGUUGUCUGAUGACGAAGCCUUUGAGCUGGCACCCAGAUGUGUUUCAGAAAAGAACUGCCUUUCUGACUCUCAAACUCCAUCGUUGACGCCUAGGGUGAAAUCGGUUCGUCUUUCUAAUCUUGUCAACUGUCGAUCGUCCACCAGCUUGAAUCGACCUCUGAGUUUUGCUGCAGAGCAACUGCUAGGUCAGACCAGUUGCGUGGGUACAGGCAGCCUCAAGUCCCUCAGUGAUGUAACCAAUGGUAGUUAUGCCAAGAAAGCUCAUCAACUGUCUCUCUGCAAAAACGGAGCCCCCAUCAGGUUCAACACGCUGUGUUACCGAGGAGAUACCUGGUCGGAAACAUCAGUGGCAAGGGGUCACUGCUUGGUGAAGAAGAACUAAACCGUUACUUCUCAGACAGAAAGGUCAAUGUAUUUGUGGCUACGUGGAACAUGAAUGGAUUGAUGUGACUGCAAGAUUUGACCAUGUAUUUUGGUGUGGCGAUCUGAAUUUUCGACUCAUGAAUGAUCGUUCGGUCGUCGGUUUACUGAAGGAUGACCAUGAAAAUAAACAACUUGCAUAUGAGAACCUCCUGAAAUUUGAUCGGCCGAGAAGUGCUGUGCUGCAUGGUCAGGCAUCUUUGGCUUUCAAGAAGGAAAGAUAAAAUUUGGACUGACCCACAAAUUCGAAGUUGGCUCAAGUCAGUUUGAUGGUGUGAAGCAUAGAGUGCCAUCGUACACGGAUCGAAUACUUUAUAGAAGCAAAAGAAAAGGCCAUAUAGAGUGUAUUCUCUAUGACUCAAUUCUAAUAAUGCAAACCUCUGAUCAUCAACCAUCGUAUGGGCUGCAUAAAGUGGGGAUUCGACCUGGAAGAGACAACACACGACUGUCGGCAGGCUUGUUCAAAAGACACACCUAUUUAGAAGGUAUGGGCUUAAUCCUAUUUUUUUCUAGUGUUUUAUGAACCGGCUUGUCAUCAUAUGAGAGCAUUAGCAAUUGUAAUGGAGAAAUGUUUCCUGAAGUCAAGGAUAUCUCAUUGUGGAGCCUAUGUAUUGUUUCCUUGUUUGCAGUUUAAUGCUUCAUUACAUACUUGCAUAUCAGUUAGUUUGCUUUCUGCCUGACCAAAACUUAUACAAUCAACUUGUGCAAUAGACAGAAGUUGAUGAUACUCUAGGUUGACACUGGUGAUAUGGCAAGAGAUUGUUAGAAAAAAGCAUUAAGUUUGCCAUGUCCAAAUUGACGGAAGGCAGGCGACUGGACAGGUUUUGAACAGGGUUAUCUGGUAAAGCUGUUAGCUUUUUGAAUUCUGUGUCGUCCUGUGGCCCCACAUGUAAUAUGCAGUGUGGGGAUCUUUCAUUCAUCUCUGAGCACCAGAUCUGUUACCUGUUGUCAUUCAUUGUAUUAUAUUAAGUUCUAUGGUCUUACUGAGAAUUAAAGCAAAGAAAUUGCAUUUAAAUACAAUUUAUUGCAUCAGAUUAAUGGCUCGCCAUGCACCUGAUGGUAAAUGUAAUGCUUUACUGGGUGUUGUCUUUCAUUUACCUGCAUAUUGUAUUGAAACAGGGAGCAAAAACAAAAAAAAAAGGCCACAGCUCAGGGGUAUAUAACUGGAACAUCAAAUGACAUUUUCAAUGCCAUUUGAUGUCUAUCUCAGUCAGAUCAGAUUUAUAUACUUGCAUUAAUCAUUAAAAUGUACCAUAUUUAAAAAUUUUAUAUCUCUCUUCAUUCGUGCUCAAUGAUAAAAUGGAGUUGUACUCAUGUGGUGCUUCUCAGGAAACAGCAUCACUUGUACGUUAAGUAACCAGUUUGAGCCUUAAUUUUUUUUAUAAUUUGUAGGUUUUAAAAUUUAUUUGCCAUAGAAAAUGAACAAGAAGAAAUAUAUGAAUAUUUAUUGUUAGAUAAAUCUAACUCUGCAGACUACUUUGAAAUGUAGUUUGUGUGGUUGCAUGUUAUUCAAUGAAGUGGUCAUAAAAGUCUGUAUUAUUUUGCAUGCAGCUGUACACAGGCAAGCUGCUGCUCUUGAAAUUUGACUGAGCCUUAAAGCCAGUCAAGUGUGUGCUGUAAUGAGGAAGGUUUUGACGUUCACCACUACCUAUGUUUGUUUUUCUUUUCUCAUUGCAUGUAGUGUACACAAGUGUUGUGUUGUUUUGUCAAAUUUUGUGUAGAUGUUAGGCUGUCAACUCACGCUUGGAAAAAGUGGUGUAAAAAUACCCUGUGGUGUACUGGUGGACCUUUCAAGCUAAAUAUAGUAUUCCAUGUCAUUUUGUAGUCUCCCAUACUAAUGCGCAUCAUUUUUUGGUAUAGUCCUCACUAGUGCCUACAUCGUUGUCGUAAUUUGCCAUAAGUCCUCCUUUUUUCUUCUCUUACAGUAAAAGCACAGCAUGAUGCUGUGAUGUAAGCUUUUGCUGUUGCAGUCUUCAAAUGCUUAUCCUGUGAUGUGCACAUAAAAGAAAUGUGAUUGUGAAAACUUAAUAAAGGUGGACUACAUUAACUGUAUAUGUAUAUGUAGUGUGAUGUAGUACCUUGAAUUGUUGCAAAAAAAUAUUAGAAACAACAGUAUGAUUCAGUAUUGAGGGGAGAUAUGAGUUGAAAUACACAUUUUUUUUCUUCAAAAUACAUAUUUUAUUGUUUUUAUUUGCUUUCACAAGUACAGUUUCUCUACAAUCAUGACAGAGAAACUUAAGACUGUAAUUAAACUUGAAGCAAGUUAAAAGUGCUUUUAAAGAGCACAAGUUGGCUACUGAAAAACUAAAAAGAGCUUAUUGUUUAGAGACUCCUGGAAAUUGUCACCUGGCUACUUGCCGUGGCAUUUUGCACGAGGGGUUCACUAAAACCAAACGCUCAAAAUACCUUUGAUUGCCAAACUUUCGUGAUAGAAAAUAUCAUCUCAAACAAACAUAUCUGUUCCGCAUAGAUGAGCUUUCACUUAUACCUUUAAGAUGCGUUUUUUUUUUCAAGAUCCAUUUUCGAGCAACUUCUUGAGUUUGGACAUCAUGUUUUUGGUACUUCUGAUACCUCAAUAAGGUUGAAAUUUUUCCCACAUAUUCCUUAGUAUGU
This is a long non-coding RNA of Rhipicephalus microplus (southern cattle tick), 3458 nucleotides long. Lineage: Eukaryota; Metazoa; Arthropoda; Arachnida; Ixodida; Ixodidae. The record is from RefSeq and is a predicted model, not a curated record.